UAGCACCACGCGCUCCGGAGACGCACAUUACGCACCAACGCGCACAUAUAAGACUAUGGCCAAGUCCCUUAUUUUAAACACGAAGCGAGUAAAUACGUUGGAUACUGAAGGUGGCGCUUGGACACUGUUGCAGGCGCGUGGAUGCGUCGGAGUGCCUGUCUGCUGAAGAAGGAUGCAUUUAAGCAGCUGACGCUGACCCACAAAACGAGGAGGAGAUGACAUCAUCCUGGAGCAGCUCCAGCUUACACAAGAUCCAUGAGCCACAGACCCACGCAGACACACCUGAAGCCCACCAUCUGGCCGAGGCUUGAGGACCAUGCUGCCUCCAAUGGUCCGACCACUCAGCCCUCUUCCUGUCACUCAGCCUCGUCAGCCGAUGCUGUCAGCACAGGUGGCAUUCUCUACCUCCUUCUCUACGGGGAAAAGAACAACCUGACAGAAGCUUUGAGCGUUCACACUGUGAGCAGGAAAAUCGAGACCCCUGUACAAUGUGGUGCAAUGUAACACAUCGUAACAGCCGUGCAAUAGAGAGGCUGCUGAGACUGUUGACUCAACACCACGGACACGUUUGAUGUUGUAGUUUGGGAUGAUCUUAUAUUGCAACAAGAAUUUGUCAGCUUGUCACUGAAAUAUAGACAUAUUUUUUUCGAUCAAUACAGCAGCAAACAAAUUAUUUACGAGGCAAAGACUUGGUGGAGGAAUGUCUACCUGGGCAGAGAAGUCUGUGUGCACUGCAAUCCAAGUUGUUCUGUUCUUUGUUUACACAGCCAGGCCGGCCUUCUAGUGCAAGUUGCUGCAUGACGCCCUGCAAAUCAAAUAUCUCUUAUAUAUUAUUUAUCUUCAUGAUUUCAGCCAACAAACUCACAAACCAUGUAGCAGGCCACGCUUGGCUGUCUGGUUUCUUUUGUUGCUCACAGUGUGAACAGAGCGUUAUAACGCCGUCCUGAUCGCCAGCGUCGCUACGGAAACAGAGCGGCCACCCUCCGGUUCUACCCCGGCUAAAGACUGAGCGCUGUGGGCACCGUUAGCUGCGCGGCUCAACCAUCGCCAUGUUGAGCGCUAUGCUGGGAAUUUUGAAUGUAGUGCCUCUGAAGAACUCCUCAUCUAUAAAGACAUAGGGCCUAAGAGGUUGAAAAGAUCACAAAAAAUGGCAAACAUACAAUGCCAUAGCUUUUUUGUUUUGUUUCCAUCGACAGCAUAAUAUAUAGAUUGUAGAGGCUUUCCUUGUUGGCUGUUGUGUGUUUUGUUAGCAUAAAUACGUAUCAAAAACAAAUGUCAAACCUUGUUUUGCAAUCCGCAUGCAAAGCCUAAUUUAUGUUAUUUACAUUCCCUAGAAUCAGACGCCUGAUUUUAUGAACACCAGGAAUCAUGAACAGCUGUUUGAUAGAGAGAAACUAAUGAUGUCAUGCCCAGAAUCAUCUGUGGGGAGCGCAACACCACGGGGGCUGUCACUCGACAACAGAAUGUCAGCGGCGGCAGGGCCUGUGUUUGGGGAAGGCUCUUGUCAAUCAUCUUACGUGCAGCGGGGGAGCAGGUGGGCUGACCAAUCAGAGAAGGUCCCAGCACAGCAGGAACGGCACCAGGAAGUGAAGCGCCAUCUGGAGUGAGGACGAGCUGUGUGAGUGGGCAACUGAAACAAAGUGAUGACAUGCUGGAGGAAAGCUGGUGGAGUGUGCUGUUGGAUAUAACAAGGGCAUUUGGAUUCAUGCUGCCUAUCACACCAACUCUGCUGGUUAUUCUAGUCGUCAGAUGGUGCUUAUUAAAGAUGUGCACCGGCAGCCAUUCCUCCCAUAUAGGGGGAGGAGACAUGUGUGUGGCAUAGCCAACUAGUAUGAUGGGUAGAAUACUGUUACCAGCAUUAACACAGAGCACAAGACAUGGUAUCACAAUUCUCAGGUUGAUUAGUGUAACAGCCCUUCCAUCCCACACACACACACACGACAUCAAUCAGAUAUCAUUCUUAAACCAGGACCAGUCUAUUUCUAACUGCACGAUGCCACUUUGACAGCUGACAAUUUGCCAGCUCAUAAAAUAUAAAAGGAAAAAAAACGGUGGCAGUGAAAACUGGUAAAUUGAAAAUUAUGACAUUGAGUUUGAUUUGAGGAAAAGGAUGAGAAAAUCCAUUAAAGCAGGUUCUGCAUGGAAAGAGCUACGUCUCUCUCUCUCUCUCUCUCCCCUUUUAUGUAACAAUGAUCUUUUAUUCCUUAGAUAAGAGACAGAUCUGCUGAGAGAUAGGUCAGAGGAAAUGGAAUUGAAUAGAAAUCUUUGCGCUACAUUUACUGAAUCAUCAAUGUGAUUAAUAGCAGUUAACACCUCGUAAAAAUAGAGCCGCAAUUACAGCGGAAAAUUAGGGCCCCGCAUUACCAUCGCGCUAAUAAGUACCGAAUAUAAUUACAUUUAUCGCAGUGUUGUCACAGAGAUUGAUAAAUUCACGCUCAAUCUCGUUAAUCUCUCAAUAACACCCAGCACAGAAUUUAACAAUUACAUUUUUUGUCAACCUAAAUGAAGGUGAGCGAUCGCGAGAGCAGGUGGAGGUAGGAGAAGAUGGAAAGUGGCAGCGUGAGGGAAAGAGAGAGCAGAUAUGCUCCCGUCCAUCUCGAGUAUUUUUCAUCCUAUUCCCAGCAGAGGGGAUAAAACAGAGAAUUACAAACUCUAAAAACUGUGUCUUUGUGUGCUUCUCUGAAAGGAGAUACUCUCCAGCACUGAAGAGAUGAAGCUCAAAACAAAAGCAGCCUGAAUUGGACCAGGAUUAGCUUUAAUGGCAGUAAUUACCAGAGGGGAUAACAGCCCGGUCCUCUCUGCCCAUCACUGAGGCCCCGAGCAGAGGACAGCAGGAGGGGGAGAGAAAGACCUGAAACAGGGCCCGUCCUUGGCUGCCUGUGUGGCUACAUGGUGGCAGCGGUUUAACACAUUCAAUUGUCAAACACUUGGACGGCCCAUCUAUGUGUGGCCUCUCCUGUGCUAAAAGCCACUACUGUAUCCCACCGCCACAAUAAUGGCUGUGCAUAAAAAAGCACUAGGCCCUCCACAAUGUUGCUUCUUGAAUUACAAUCUGAGCUGAUGGCCCUAAAUUAUAGCAGCAGGGGCACUUUCUCUUUCUCUCGAGUUCAUCUUAAUGGCUACGUAGCCUCAGCAAGCUGCGCCGCGUGCGUCGAUAAAACGUUUUGGGGGCAUUGACAGUGAUGUGGUCUGCUGCCUAAAAACAAGAGAAAUUAAUAUGCAACAUGGUGCCACCUUACACCCAUAGUGGAAGAUGGGCCCCCAGACAUCAGUGGGAACAAAGGAGAUAAACGAAGAAGAGCCAUGUGCGGGACAAGCUGCUCACAGGGGUAUAAUUUAUAUAGUAUUAAAUCUCUGCUUCCAAACCCUAAUUUGAAUGUCAGCCCUCUUGCCUCGGGAGCAUCGCACACUGAAGCUAAAUCAAAUAUACAGUGCCCACGUGCUGCUGCUCUUUCUCCUCUGCCAUCCGACCUAUACCUGCGUACGAUAUUCCUUCAUUCCCGAGGUGUGCGUGGUUGUCUGACCUGCGGUGCAUUGGUUUCCUGAAAAUCGGAUCAAUAAAGAACAACCCACCAGACAACCUAUCCACAGGGAAGCUGUAUCUAUACAUAUCUCAUAUGUCCAGACUGUCCGCACGGUGGACUGCGUCAGCUGAUCACACAGGUUCAGGAUGCGCUGAAUAAUAUGAUCUCCCGAUGUUGCUCAUUUUCCGAUUGAUCAUAAAAAUGCGUGAAUUGCUUCCGUAAAGCGCAUCAAAUGGAUGUGUUUAUUGUUUCUUUAUCAGUGUCAAGCAGAUGAGGAAGAAGAGCCAUGAGUCUCUGAGGUUGUCGUGAUUUGUAACCAUCACACUGUAUGUUAAACCUGUAGAGACUCAGGUUAGGGCCUAUACACUGUGGUAUGGGAUUGUAAUGAGACACAUCAUGAAGCCUGGUGUGUGGCCUCUUUUUUAAUGAACUCUUUUGAGAUCCGGCAGAAAAGCCUUCACAGGAGAGAAUGGAGCUGCCGUUUAAAACUCCACCUGUGACAACCGAGCUUCGUACGGCUCUUAUCUCGGGGAUGAAUCACGAGACAUCAUCACAUUUCUUGGUCGGUUAAAGCUCCUGUAUGACCCUCCUCCGUCUGCUCUGUAGGAUUUAUCUGUUUAAUCUAUCCACAAUAAACCAAGAAGAGUGUUUUCAUGUU
Molecule: long non-coding RNA, 4182 nt
Organism: Pseudoliparis swirei
Lineage: Eukaryota; Metazoa; Chordata; Actinopteri; Perciformes; Liparidae
Exons: 4
Source: RefSeq, a predicted model, not a curated record